RNAcentral lists this ribosomal RNA (532 nucleotides) under uncultured bacterium. Its description in RNAcentral is "partial 16S ribosomal RNA". It matches the Rfam family "Bacterial small subunit ribosomal RNA", at positions 355 to 871 of the family's 1533-position model. The record is from RNAcentral.
UGGGGAAUUUUGGACAAUGGGCGCAAGCCUGAUCCAGCAAUGCCGCGUGCAGGAUGAAGGCCUUCGGGUUGUAAACUGCUUUUGUACGGAACGAAAAGGCUCUGGCUAAUACCUGGGGCACAUGACGGUACCGUAAGAAUAAGCACCGGCUAACUACGUGCCAGCAGCCGCGGUAAUACGUAGGGUGCGAGCGUUAAUCGGAGUUACUGGGCGUAAAGCGUGCGCAGGCGGUUUUGUAAGACAGAGGUGAAAUCCCCCGGGCUCAACCUGGGAACUGCCUUUGUGACUGCAAGGCUGGAGUGCGGCAGAGGGGGAUGGAAUUCCGCGUGUAGCAGUGAAAUGCGUAGAUAUGCGGAGGAACACCGAUGGCGAAGGCAAUCCCCCUGGGCCUGCACUGACGCUCAUGCACGAAAGCGUGGGGAGCAAACAGGAUUAGAUACCCCUGGUUAGUCCACGCCCCUAAAGCGAUGUCAACUGGUUGUUGGGGUCUUAAUUGACUCAGUAACGAAGCUAACGCGUGAAGUUUGGACCG